UCGGUGUGGUGCCAGUGCUCGCAAUGACUGCCUAUACUGUAGAGGGUAUUUCGCAGGCAUUGCGCAGAAAAGGCAUCACACUUCGGUGUGAUGCCAGUGCUCGCAAUGACUGGCAUAUAAUGGGGUACUUAGCAGGCAUUGCGCAGAAAAGGCAUCACAUUUCGGUGUGGUGCCAGUGCUCGCAAUGACUGCCUAUACAGUAGAGGGUGCUUCGCAGGCAUUGCGCAGAAAAGGCAUCACAUUUCGGUGUGGUGCCAGUGCUCGCAAUGACUGCCUAUACAGUAGAGGGUGCUUCGCAGGCAUUGCGCAGAAAAGGCAUCACGCUUCGGUGUGGUGCCAGUGCUCGCAAUGAUUGAAUACUCUCCUCACUGAAAACGCGGCAGUAUUCUCGACGAUCACCGGCCCCAGCACAGUCACCGAACACAUAAUUCGCCUUAAACACGACCGGCCAUUAAAGCAGAGGUAUUAUCCACGCAACCCAGCGAUGCAAGAAGUAAUCAAUCAAGAGGUGAACGAAUUGAUUGCAACCGGCCGCAUCGAAGCACGUUCUCAUAGCACGUUCACAUAUAAGCAGGUUAUGGUUAACAAAAAUUAACCUCGAAGCUAACCUUGUUGCGUUCACAUAUACACUCAAUAAAUAUCUAGCUGCAUUAAAUUCCUGUAGCCGAGAAUAUAAAGUUGCUAUCCAACAAAGUGAGCAGGAAUUACGGAUACGAAGAGCUCGAGUAAUAUCGAUUUAUUAUGAAAUAUUAAUGUUGACAACAAUACCUCUUUGUAAGGAAAUAAACCCAAGAAGUAUUUGGGCAUACAAGCGAUAUGGGAACUUCUGGGAAAAGGAUGUUCCAUCAAUGAACGACCGCGUUUUUAAGGAAACCUUUCGGAUGAGCAGGGCAACCUUUGAAAUAUUGUGUGAAUAUGUCAAAGGUAUUACCAAACAGGAUUCAUGCUAUAGGAAGUGCAUCCCAUUGCAGAAAAUGGCAGCUGUUGCCGUCUACACAUUAAAAUCUUCGGCGGAGUAUGAAACUGUUGCACGACUAUUCGGUGUUUCGAAAGCAAUCGUCAGCGAAAUAUUUCUUGCUUUUUGCCAAGAAGUGUGGCAGUCAUUGCGUCCCAUUUAUUUGACAGAACAAUUAAGGAACAGUGAAAACGUGGAUGAGUGUGUUCAUGGGUUUGAGAAGCUUGGCUUUCCGCAAUGUCUUGGUGCCAUAGACGGUUGCCACAUUAAAGUUCGGCCAAGGAUUGGAUUGCACGGCCUAUUACAAUUCUAAGGGGUACUCCACAGUUUUAUUUGCCCUUGUAGAUUAUAGAUAUCGCUUCCUCUACAUUAAUGUUGGCUGCCCAGGUCGAUGCAAUGACUCAAAAAUUUUUCAAUGUAGCAAACUAAAUACUGCAUUGAAGGACCCAAUCUUCACUGCGAAAAGCAAAACUAUUAAUGGCGUGUAUGUUCCUGUGGGCGUUAUGGGUGAUUCGGCUUUCCGAUUUGCCAACAAUCUAAUGAAGCCCUAUCCAUUCCAAGUACAUCCUCCAGAGCAUGAAAAAAUUUUUAAUUACCAAUUGUCCAAAUGCCGAAGAGUGGUGGAAAAUACGUUUGGACACCUAAAGGCUCGUUUUAGGAGAAUAGAGAAAGGAGUCGACAACCACAUCAAAAAUGUUCCUCUUAUAAUUAAAGCAGCCUGUACAUUGCAUAACUUUUUAAAUUGUCAUAAUGAUGUCAUCAAUCACAAAUGGAUAGAAGAACAAACCACUUACGAAAGUAAUGUACGCCUGGAACAGCCCGAGCAGCAACAGAUGCUGUAGCAGAUUUUGAAGCAGAACCUGAAACAAUUAGAAGAGCGAUUGCGAAUUCAUUUUACUCCGGAGUCGUCGAAAGUCCUGCAAGCUCAUCGCUUGAAAUGAAUUGGGAUUGGCUGCUCGUCGAAGGGUAGAUAGCAGCGCAACCAAUGUUGUCUUCUGGUUCCACAUCUUGAAUUAAAAUAAAAUAAUAAAUAAAAGAGCAGACAAAAGUUUCAUUUUUAUAUUACCUAUACUCUCUUGCAUGAGUUCUUUGAAAUUUACUGCCUUAUUACCACUGAGUAUUUCUUCCACCUCCUUGUUGUGGAUCCAAGAGGAAGGCGAACCACCAGUCAUACCCACCGCAUUCUUUUCUAAUCUAUAAAAUAAAAUAUAUAUUAUAAUGCUCUGCACUGUAGUUCAUCUGCCUUUUUGAAAAUUCCUUUUCCAAACGCGCAAAGAUAUGAACAUUCUUUUUCGCGCUUCGUAAUUCUUCUAUACUAUCUGCCCAGUGCAAUAGCAGCAAUUUCUCUGCAUCUACUGUCCAUCUGACACGGUUUUUCCUUUUCCUAAUUACAAUUUAAUAAAAUUAUUAUAUAUAAGUAUAUUUGAAUGCAUAAAAAAUAAAAAUAUAUAAAUUAAAAUUUA
RNAcentral lists this long non-coding RNA (2418 nucleotides) under Bactrocera tryoni. RNAcentral describes it as "uncharacterized LOC120774771, transcript variant X2". The record is from RNAcentral. Lineage: Eukaryota; Metazoa; Arthropoda; Insecta; Diptera; Tephritidae.